RNAcentral lists this ribosomal RNA (429 nucleotides) under uncultured bacterium. RNAcentral describes it as "bacterial SSU rRNA". It matches the Rfam family "Bacterial small subunit ribosomal RNA", at positions 355 to 776 of the family's 1533-position model. The record is from RNAcentral.
UGGGGAAUAUUGGACAAUGGGGGAAACCCUGAUCCAGCGACGCCGCGUGUGUGAAGAAGGCCUGCGGGUUGUAAAGCACUUUUAGUGGGGAUGAAAAGUUCAGGGCUAAUACCUCUGGAUCUUGACCUAACCCACAGAAAAAGCACCGGCUAACUCUGUGCCAGCAGCCGCGGUAAUACAGAGGGUGCAAGCGUUAAUCGGAAUUACUGGGCGUAAAGCGUGCGUAGGCGGUUUCGUAAGUCGGGUGUGAAAGCCCCGGGCUCAACCUGGGAAUUGCAUUCGAGACUGCGAAGCUAGGGUGCGGAAGAGGGAAGCGGAAUUUCCGGUGUAGCGGUGAAAUGCGUAGAUAUCGGAAGGAACAUCAGUGGCGAAAGCGGCUUCCUGGUCCAGCGCCGACGCUCAGGCACGAAAGCGUGGGGAGCAAACAGG